CCGAGUUUACAACUCCCAAACCCCUGUGAACAUACCUUUAUGUUGCCUCGGCGGAUCAGCCCGCGCCCGUAAAACGGGACGGCCCGCCGCAGGAAACCCUAAACUCUGUUUUUAGUGGAACUUCUGAGUAUAAAAAACAAAUAAAUCA
RNAcentral lists this unclassified non-coding RNA (148 nucleotides) under soil metagenome. RNAcentral describes it as "partial internal transcribed spacer 1". The record is from RNAcentral.